GUGGGGGAUAUUGCACAAUGGAGGAAACUCUGAUGCAGCGACGCCGCGUGAGUGAAGAAGUAUUUCGGUAUGUAAAGCUCUAUCAGCAGGGAAGAUAAUGACAGUACCUGACUAAGAAGCCCCGGCUAACUACGUGCCAGCAGCCGCGGUAAUACGUAGGGGGCAAGCGUUAUCCGGAUUUACUGGGUGUAAAGGGAGCGUAGACGGAAUGGCAAGUCUGAAGUGAAAUCCUGCGGCUUAACUGCAGAAUUGCUUUGGAAACUGUCAAUCUGGAGUGUUGGAAAGGUAAGCGGAAUUACUAGUGUAGAAGUGAAAUGCGUAGAUAUCAGGAAGAACAACGGAGGCGAAGGCGGCUUACUGGACAAUAACUGACGUUGAGGCUCGAAAGCGUGGGAAGCAAACAGGAUUAGAUACCCGAGUAGUCC
RNAcentral lists this ribosomal RNA (425 nucleotides) under uncultured bacterium. RNAcentral describes it as "partial 16S ribosomal RNA". It matches the Rfam family "Bacterial small subunit ribosomal RNA", at positions 354 to 796 of the family's 1533-position model. The record is from RNAcentral.